AGACCAACGGACGAUGUGAUUGGGCUUCGAACCACUCAGUGGUUUAUGCUCAGGAAAGUCCCCGGGCCCAUUACCGCAGAGAUGCGGGCCUGGAAACAGGUUAUGCUUCGAAGCAAAUGAAUCAUGUUGGGCCAGAAAUGGUUCGACGGGCUGAGACCAGUGUGGAGCCUUAUGGAUUCUAGCUCGAAGUUAAUUUGGCCGAUGUCACAGUCAUUCACAUGGUCCUUUGUGACUAACUGAACGGUCAUUCACAUGGUCCUUUGUGACUAACUGAACGGUCAUUCACAUGGUCCUUUGUGACUAACUGAACGGGGCUUAUGAUCCGUUGGUC
RNAcentral lists this RNase MRP RNA (331 nucleotides) under Helianthus annuus (common sunflower). RNAcentral describes it as "RNase MRP". It matches the Rfam family "RNase MRP". Rfam says of the family: RNase MRP is an enzymatically active ribonucleoprotein with two distinct roles in eukaryotes. In mitochondria it plays a direct role in the initiation of mitochondrial DNA replication. In the nucleus it is involved in precursor rRNA processing, where it cleaves the internal transcribed spacer 1 between 18S and 5.8S rRNAs. The record is from RNAcentral. Lineage: Eukaryota; Viridiplantae; Streptophyta; Magnoliopsida; Asterales; Asteraceae.